RNAcentral lists this ribosomal RNA (253 nucleotides) under uncultured bacterium. RNAcentral describes it as "partial 16S ribosomal RNA". It matches the Rfam family "Bacterial small subunit ribosomal RNA", at positions 524 to 776 of the family's 1533-position model. The record is from RNAcentral.
GACGUAGGAGGCAAGCGUUAUCCGGAAUGACUGGGCGUAAAGGGCGUCUAGGUGGCGUCUCAAGCGGGGUGUGAAAGCUCUCGGCUCAACUGAGAGAGUGCGCUCCGAACUGGGAAGCUAGAGGGUUGGCGACGGCGGUGGAAUACCCGGUGGAGUGGUGAAAUGCGUAGAGAUCGGGUGGAACACCAGUGGCGCAAGCGGCCGCCGAGCCGAUGCCUGACACUGACGCGCGAGAGCGUGGGGAGCCAACGGG